CCUACGAGUGGCAGCAGUGGGGAAUAUUGCACAAUGGGGGAAACCCUGAUGCAGCGACGCCGCGUGAGUGAAGAAGUAUUUCGGUAUGUAAAGCUCUAUCAGCAGGGAAGAAGAACGACGGUACCUGACUACGAAGCCCCGGCUAACUACGUGCCAGCAGCCGCGGUAAUACGUAGGGGGCAAGCGUUAUCCGGAUUUACUGGGUGGAAAGGGAGCGUAGACGGCUGUGUAAGUCUGAAGUGAAAGCCCAGGGCUUAACCCUGGGACUGCUUUGGAAACUGUGGAGCUAGAGUGCUGGAGAGGUAAGUGGAAUUCCUAGUGUAGCGGUGAAAUGCGUAGAUAUUAGGAGGAACACCAGUGGCGAAGGCGGCUUACUGGACAGUAACUGACGUUGAGGCUCGAAAGCGUGGGGAGCAAACAGGAUUAGAUACCCGUGUAGUC
RNAcentral lists this ribosomal RNA (441 nucleotides) under uncultured bacterium. RNAcentral's name for it is "partial 16S ribosomal RNA". It matches the Rfam family "Bacterial small subunit ribosomal RNA", at positions 338 to 795 of the family's 1533-position model. The record is from RNAcentral.